Long non-coding RNA from Panthera uncia (snow leopard), 1253 nucleotides. RefSeq lists it as uncharacterized. The record is from RefSeq and is a predicted model, not a curated record. The transcript has 2 exons. NCBI's taxonomy places the organism in Eukaryota, Metazoa, Chordata, Mammalia, Carnivora, Felidae.
CACGCUCGUGCUCUGUCUCUCAAAAAUAAAUAAAACAUUUAAAAAAAGUGCAGUUCAAACUGUAUGUCACUAUGGAACAUACUCUAACAACAAAUGAAACUUCAAAGAAACCUUAAACAUCAUUUAGUAUAUUUCUUGUUAAAAUGCACAGUAUUAUUUUGAAACUGAUGUAAAUUAGGACCAAAAAAAGUAACUAUGCUAAUGUUGUUAGGAGCCAAGAUUUCCAGUGUUAAAGAGACCAGGUAUAAAUUGAAGGAAGUUAAGGGAAAAUCUGUAAACUUCAAUUUGAAUUAGAAUCCAGAAAAUUGUAGAAUCUAUUGCAAUUACUUUUAUACAAUAACACUAAAACCAUGUUUUUCUCUUCUGGGUAUGUUGGUUCUCCAGUACCUAUGAUUAACCUUUUUAAGAGUUCUUCCUGCAAUAAUGGCAGAGAUUAGAGUAUGCUCUGUGAAAAGUAAUAAAAGGAAGUCUCCUUUAGAAUGCAGUUGGGAAGCCCUCAAGGUGAGCUCUCCUGCCCUAUGACUUGUCAAUUACAGACCCAGGGGAAGAGGAGGACCUUGCACAUGGCCACGCCUAUCCCAGCAAGAAGGAAGGCCUUUCUCCUCCCCUGGCAACAGCCCAGCCAAUGAGAGACUGCAACAAUGCAGCCAAUGAAAAGCCACUAUACUUUGAACUCCCAGUUUUCACCAAUGGACUUUCUGUUUAUAACAGCCGAGCUUCCCCUUUCCUCUAUAAAGGAACGUUCCUCGUUGAAGGGAGUUACCUAUAGUUUCUUGGGAGAGUGUGUGCUGUGGCUUGCGAUUCUCUGCUAUCCCCCAAUAAAUCCAUUUUUGCUGUUAAAAUAGCUGGUAGUUUUGUUUUGUAAGGUUAACUUACUUGGUGAUCAGAAGUGGGAUGCGAAGAAGACCCCCAGCAACUCGGAGGCUGGUGAACAAACCCGACAGCACGCACAGAGCCAAUUGGGCUCACUGCUUUCUCGCUGACCCUGGAGUUUGCGGUCCUAAAUCCAACAACCGGUGUCCUUAUAAGAGGCAGAAGAGAAGAUGCAAACUAUAGAGAAGGCCAUGGCCAUGUGAAAACAGAGAUAAAAGAAGCCACAAGCCAAGGAAUGUCUAAAGCCAUCAGAAGCUGCAAGGGGUAAGAAAUGAAUCUCUCCUAGAGCCUUUGAAGGGAAUAUAGCCCUCCCGACACCUUAAUUUCAGACUUUUUCUCACCAUAACUAUGAGGAAAUAAAUCUCUGUUGUUUUAAGCCA